Molecule: non-coding RNA, 549 nt
Organism: Chelonoidis abingdonii (Abingdon island giant tortoise)
Lineage: Eukaryota; Metazoa; Chordata; Testudines; Testudinidae
Source: RefSeq, a predicted model, not a curated record
UAGUGUGUAAAUAUGUGGAGUGUUUAGAACCUAAAGCAACACUUGUAUUUGUAAAAUUCUUCUUUUGCAGGUUUAAGAUGAAUUAGUUCUGUUUUUAAAUAAUAGUGCUAAAAUCCAUUUGAAUCUUUCAUUCAAAGUCACAAAACGGAGGAACACUUUUUGCCAAACACAGAUCGCUGUGUGUUUUAGAAGCAGGAGUGAAAAGUGAAAUCAAAACUCCGGUGGAAGUUGACUGUGUCCCUCUUAAGACAGAGUCUCUAAGCGGCUAAUGGCUUUAAAUCCAAAAGCAAGCCAAAAAGUGUCUGUGUUAAUGUAAAUUACCUGAUAAAGAAGAAAAGAACUGCCCAAAAAUUGCAGCACAAAGAAGUCAAAUCAAAGGACAAGACAGGAGAUAGGUAGAUCAGAGGAAGGUAAGGGCACUAAUAGAAAUGCCGGCCCCUACCGAUGCCCACUCUUUAAGAAUACUGCUAGGAGGAUUUAAUUUUCUUAGACUACAUCUAUAAAUAUGCUAAAAUAACUCACCCAUUGUGGAAACUGACUUAAAAAAAA